Molecule: long non-coding RNA, 128 nt
Organism: Amblyraja radiata (thorny skate)
Lineage: Eukaryota; Metazoa; Chordata; Chondrichthyes; Rajiformes; Rajidae
Exons: 2
Source: RefSeq, a predicted model, not a curated record
UGAUAAAAAUUGCGAAGGUUUCAUGGGAAAAAAACUUGAUAUAUAUACAUAAAUGUUCGAUUAAUGCAAGACAUAAUUUAAUUCAAUUUAAAAUUCUACACAGAUUAUAUUAUUCGAAAACUAGAUUG